UUUUACAAAAUUCACUCAUUUCUUAUGUUAAAAAUUGGCAUAGUUGACGAAAUAAUCAGAUAGCUAUAUGUGGCGUACUACGUGUAACUUGUGUUGAUGUACAAGGACCAAUGUUUAACAAUAAAAAUGGAUGGAAUUUUUAACA
This is a non-coding RNA of Gossypium hirsutum (cotton), 145 nucleotides long. The record is from Rfam. Lineage: Eukaryota; Viridiplantae; Streptophyta; Magnoliopsida; Malvales; Malvaceae.